This 483-nucleotide ribosomal RNA is filed under the name uncultured bacterium. RNAcentral describes it as "partial 16S ribosomal RNA". It matches the Rfam family "Bacterial small subunit ribosomal RNA", at positions 30 to 507 of the family's 1533-position model. The record is from RNAcentral.
UUGAACGCUGGCGGCAGGCCUAACACAUGCAAGUCGAGCGGAUGAAGGGAGCUUGCUCCUGGAUUCAGCGGCGGACGGGUGAGUAAUGCCUAGGAAUCUGCCUGGUAGUGGGGGAUAACGUCCGGAAACGGGCGCUAAUACCGCAUACGUCCUGAGGGAGAAAGUGGGGGAUCUUCGGACCUCACGCUAUCAGAUGAGCCUAGGUCGGAUUAGCUAGUUGGUGGGGUAAAGGCCUACCAAGGCGACGAUCCGUAACUGGUCUGAGAGGAUGAUCAGUCACGCUGGAACUGAGACACGGUCCAGACUCCUACGGGAGGCAGCAGUGGGGAAUAUUGGACAAAGGGCGAAAGCCUGAUCCAGCCAUGCCGCGUGUGUGAAGAAGGUCUUCGGAUUGUAAAGCACUUUAAGUUGGGAGGAAGGGCAGUAAGUUAAUACCUUGCUGUUUUGACGUUACCAACAGAAUAAGCACCGGCUAACUUCGUG